This 800-nucleotide ribosomal RNA is filed under the name uncultured bacterium. RNAcentral's name for it is "bacterial SSU rRNA". It matches the Rfam family "Bacterial small subunit ribosomal RNA", at positions 8 to 808 of the family's 1533-position model. The record is from RNAcentral.
AGAGUUUGAUCCUGGCUCAAGAUGAACGCUGGCGGCGUGCUUAACACAUGCUAGUCGAGCGAAGCACUUAAGUGGAUCUCUUCGGAUUGAAACUUAUUUGACUGAGCGGCGGACGGGUGAGUAACGCGUGGGUAACCUGCCUCAUACAGGGGGAUAACAGUUAGAAAUGGCUGCUAAUACCGCAUAAGCGCACAGGACCGCAUGGUCUGGUGUGAAAAACUCCGGUGGUAUGAGAUGGACCCGCGUCUGAUUAGCUAGUUGGAAGGGUAACGGCCCACCAAGGCGACGAUCAGUAGCCGGCCUGAGAGGGUGAACGGCCACAUUGGGACUGAGACACGGCCCAGAUUCCUACGGGAGGCAGCAGUGGGGAAUAUUGCACAAUGGGGGAAACCCUGAUGCAGCGACGCCGCGUGAAGGAAGAAGUAUCUCGGUAUGUAAACUUCUAUCAGCAGGGAAGAAAAUGACGGUACCUGACUAAGAAGCCCCGGCUAACUACGUGCCAGCAGCCGCGGUAAUACGUAGGGGGCAAGCGUUAUCCGGAUUUACUGGGUGUAAAGGGAGCGUAGACGGAAGAGCAAGUCUGAUGUGAAAGGCUGGGGCUUAACCCCAGGACUGCAUUGGAAACUGUUUUUCUAGAGUGCCGGAGAGGUAAGUGGAAUUCCUAGUGUAGCGGUGAAAUGCGUAGAUAUUAGGAGGAACACCAGUGGCGAAGGCGGCUUACUGGACGGUAACUGACGUUGAGGCUCGAAAGCGUGGGGAGCAAACAGGAUUAGAUACCCUGGUAGUCCACGCCGUAAACG